CAGCAGCGACACAGGAUGGAGGCUGCUUCCCUCUGCCUGAUACUGUCAGCCACACUGAGCAUCCAUCCCGACAAGUCUCAGUUCUUUCGGAAGGAGGACAUCUCUGUGACGUGUGCGGCGCCGACAAACUCCAGCAGCUGGACGUUGAUGGGGAACAACUCCUUAAAUAUGUCCCAUCCCUGCGAGGGCGGCGCCUGCGCCCUGAGGAACCUCUACCCAUCGGACACCGGAGUGUACUGGUGUCAGUCCGAGCGGAGCGAGUGCAGCAGCACCGUCAACAUCACAGUGACUGCCGGUGUCGUGAUCCUGGAGAGUCCUGCACUUCCCGCGACAGAGGGAGAGAAAGUGACCAUUCAAUGUUUCUACAAGGAGAGAGUUGCACCGAAUCCGACGUCGGAUUUCUCUGCUUCGUUCUACAGAAAUGAUGAUUUGAUCGGCACUGAGGAUGCAGGAAAGAUGGUCCUCCCAGCGGUGUCCAGGUCUGACGAAGGCUUCUACAUGUGUGAACACCCAACGAAGGGGAAGUCACCGCAGAGCUGGCUGGCUGUGUCAGUGGGACCUCAGCCUACAGAUGUCCCUCCUCCUCCUCCUCCUCCUCCUCUCAUGUCUCUGCCCAGGCUGCUGUGUACCAUCCUGCUGUUCAUCCUCUACACUGCCAUACUCAUAAUGUGCAUACACUUGUUCUGCAGGAUGACUCGAGGUAAGAACACCUCUGAGAAUUGAUGCAGUGAAAUGUUCCCUGUCAGUGUUGGACUGUUUGAGCAUUACUUUAGCAUUACUUUAGCAUUACUUUAGCAUUACACUGAACUAGCAGCUAGACACAGAUUGAGUCUUUGUUGUUCAUGUUCAUGCGGCUGCUUCAUUUUGUGUUUCACUGACAUGUGAUCGAUGGCCUCUCUUGUGGCUGAUGACGGGUUUGAAUCUGUGGUUUUCGGUGGAAGACUAGCAUUAAAAAUCAACACAUUUGGAGCUCGAGCUGAUGCUAAAAGGAGAGCUGAUCUCGUACUGGAAUGAUGAAGAAGAAGAUCUUCAACUUGUGAUAUUGCAGAUAUAUCGGCCAAUAUCAGUGUGAAGAAGGCAAUAUUCUUAUAUUUUUAUUAUUCCAUUUUUCUAAAAUAGUGUAUUUUUUCUUAGCUACUGUAUGGAGGAGGGAACCUGGCAAAACAAAAAAUGAAUAAAUUAAAAGAUACAUUUAAAAAAAUGGAUAACAAAUGCAAAAAAAGCAUAUUUAAAAAAAAGAGGCGAAUAAAAUCAGAAGUAUAAAUUUACCAAUUAAUGAAUGCAUAUAUGUAUUUUUUAUUUGUUUUUGGUAUAUUUGUUGGCAUAUUCAUUUAUUUAUUAAGUCAUUUUUUGUUUAUUCUAUUUUGGCAGCUUUCAUCCUCCAUAAACACGCUUUAUUUAAUAAUCUUUAUAAUUGUUUGCAUUUCUUAUUCCUAUGUAACAAUCUACACAGUUACAUUACCAGCCAGAAAUAAAUAACUAAAUUUAACAAGGAAUAAAUAAAUGUAAAAAUAAAUACAUACAAGUAAAGAUUUAUAGAAAUAGAUAGAUAGAUAUGGCUGCAUUAUGAUUUAUGACUUUACUCUGAUAUCCUGUACAUUAGUUUGUAUUCUGAGGAUUAUGGGAUGUCAUUUGUGCAGUUAUUUUAUCAUAAAUCAAAGUAUAAGAUGAAAAGUUAUGUAAGUUAAAUAAGUCAGAGUUGGGAAUGACAUCACAGCCGAGUUGACAGCGUUCCAGUAAAACGUGUGAACCUGAACACCAGUUCAGCGCAUCAUGUCCGGAUGUGUUUAACCUUCAGAUCAGCUCUGUGGAAAUCUACUUCGUUGAGAAACAUUCACUCAAAUGUCUAAAUAAACUCAUGAACAGCAGCUUCAAUGAUCGAGUCACGCCACCUGGUGGGCAGGUUUCACUUUCACUCACUCGACCUUUGAAAUGAACCGUCUCUUCUAACGGGUCAUUUUAACGGGUUUAUUUCCAUAAACGUGUUGAACAUUGUAAUUGUGCUUAAUGAACAAAAUAAAACAUAAAACAGA
This is an RNA transcript of Anarrhichthys ocellatus (wolf-eel), 2033 nucleotides long. It is a transcript of the gene named low affinity immunoglobulin gamma Fc region receptor II-like, with no coding region annotated. The transcript has 5 exons. NCBI's taxonomy places the organism in Eukaryota, Metazoa, Chordata, Actinopteri, Perciformes, Anarhichadidae. The record is from RefSeq and is a predicted model, not a curated record.